This 497-nucleotide ribosomal RNA is filed under the name uncultured bacterium. Its description in RNAcentral is "partial 16S ribosomal RNA". It matches the Rfam family "Bacterial small subunit ribosomal RNA", at positions 28 to 507 of the family's 1533-position model. The record is from RNAcentral.
GAUGAACGCUGGCGGCGUGCCUAAUACAUGCAAGUCGAGCGAACGGACGAGAAGCUUGCUUCUCUGAUGUUAGCGGCGGACGGGUGAGUAACACGUGGAUAACCUACCUAUAAGACUGGGAUAACUUCGGGAAACCGGAGCUAAUACCGGAUAAUAUUUUGAACCGCAUGGUUCAAAAGUGAAAGACGGUCUUGCUGUCACUUAUAGAUGGAUCCGCGCUGCAUUAGCUAGUUGAUAAGGUAACGGCUUACCAAGGCAACGAUGCAUAGCCGACCUGAGAGGGUGAUCGGCCACACUGGAACUGAGAAACGGUCCAGACUCCUACGGGAGGCAGCAGUAGGGAAUCUUCCGCAAUGGGCGAAAGCCUGACGGAGCAACGCCGCGUGAGUGAUGAAGGUCUUCGGAUCGUAAAACUCUGUUAUUAGGGAAGAACAUAUGUGUAAGUAACUGUGCACAUCUUGACGGUACCUAAUCAGAAAGCCACGGCUAACUACGUG